RNAcentral lists this transfer RNA (72 nucleotides) under Canis lupus familiaris (dog). It matches the Rfam family "tRNA". From Rfam's summary of the family: Transfer RNA (tRNA) molecules are approximately 80 nucleotides in length. Their secondary structure includes four short double-helical elements and three loops (D, anti-codon, and T loops). RNAcentral also lists the same sequence under 3 other names. The record is from Rfam by way of RNAcentral. Lineage: Eukaryota; Metazoa; Chordata; Mammalia; Carnivora; Canidae.
ACCUGGUUGGCUUGUCUGUAAAGCAUGUGACUCUUAAUCUCAGGGUUGUGAGUUUGAGCCCCACAUUGGGUG